RNAcentral lists this long non-coding RNA (2243 nucleotides) under Bemisia tabaci. Its description in RNAcentral is "lncRNA ENSSSA1UGG005532". Lineage: Eukaryota; Metazoa; Arthropoda; Insecta; Hemiptera; Aleyrodidae. The record is from RNAcentral.
UGUAUCCUUCGUGUCUUUUGUCACUUUUCAUUUUCAAAAUCCAAAUUUUUUCCUGCGUCAGAAUUUUUUCAUUUGGUAUCUCAAACAUGUUUUAAAUCGUGUCUUUUUAACGUUGGAUUUGAAAAAUGAACCCCCGUUAUCGUACACGCAUACCUCCACCUUUAAGGGGGGGGGGGGGGGAGAUCUGGGACUCCUACUUUCAGAGCGCCAACCAAAGUUCAGCUUAAUGCGCUAAAAAUAUAGAUCCGGCUUUGGAGAUGUGAAUGAAUAAGAAUGUAGAGUAUUUUAAUUUAUUAAUGCUUGGAGAAGUGCGGUCAUUCGCAAUUCCAGAUAAAAAUAAAGCAAAAAUUCGGUAACACAAGUAAAUGAACGAACAAGUCUCCUCCCAAUUAUUUCGGUUCUCUUGCAUGAAGUUCAAAUUUGCACUGUUUUUGCCGCCUUAAAAACAACCAAUAGGAGUUGAUUGCAUUAGUUCACUGUCUCGACACUAGGUACCGUCCAAGCAGCCUCCAAAAAUUUUGAGGUUAUGAAUUUGUUUUCAUUGUCGGCCGUGAAUUUUACAACGUGGAAGUCUAGUGCAGGAAGGUAUGAAUUCAGAUGACGAAACGUCGCCGGAUAAAAUAAGUACAGAGAAUUUUCUUUCAAAGAACGAUCAGUCUGAAACAUCGGUCGAUUUAAAUUCGAAGAAACACCAAGAAGCUCGAGCAUUUCUGCGAGAAAAGUAUCUCAGAGUAAUAACUCUUCUUGUUGGUCAUUCUUGCAAAUUCAAUCUAGUGGAUGGUAACUGUGUUAGUGGAACUUUUAGUGGGUCGGAUGCUGAUUCAAAACGAUUUUAUGUCAAGAAUCUAGUGACACCUAUUGGAGCAGUUUCUGACGCCUUGCUUAGGAGUGAAGACAUUGUUAGUUUUCACAUAUCUGGAAUCAGUGAGUGUUCUAAUAUGGCUACAUACUAUUAUAUUUUGCCAGCAAGAUUGAAAAAUUAUUAUUGACAAACAAGGAAGAUAAUUUUUUUAGAAAAUAGAAGAAAGAUACAAUUUUUAGGAAUUAUGUCUGUGAGCUCAAGGCCAUAAGUCAAAUAAGGAGAUGCGUUUUCCUGUAUCAAGAUUUAUACAUCAAAGCAAUGGAGGACAGAAGGAUCCUCCAUGAGUGGACAGCACGGUAAAUGAAUUUUUAUCCCCAUAGGAUAAAAUUCAGAGACCUAGGUCCUUUAGAACCUAUCACUCACAAAUGAAAAUUUAAAAUCUAUUGGGAUGCGAUAAGAAGCAUGGGUGUAGAAAAGUCAGAUUUUUUUAGGGAUGUAAGUAUUACGAGCACAGAUUUGCACCAAGUGAGACACGACUAAGUAUCAUUUUAGAACAAUAAUUUACCCCCACAGUUUUAAUUUGAAUUAACUAGUUAGAUUUUCAAAAAGGACCAUUAAUUUAAACCGGUUUAACUAAAUAGGUUUAAAUUAGUGGAGAAAGAAUUGUUUUCCCUUAUCAACUAAAUCCAAGCUUCCCAACAAGCCAUUUCUUGAUCAGUUGAUUCUGGAAAAGUGAUCUAAUGGUAAAAUGACCAUCUCAGUUGGAUGGGUAUGAAAUUUUCUCUCAUAAUUCACAUGAGAUCCUUGUGUUAGGUUUUCUCACAAAAUCUCAUUUUCAGUGAGUUUUGCAAAAUUGUAAAGAAAUGUGCUCACUAAAUACUAAACAACAGUCUAGCACGUAUGAAUUCUUGAAAGACGCAUCCCUGAGGGACUGUCUUAGAAUCAGCAAUUAUUUCAAUUUUCAUCGAAAAUAAAAUCUUUAUCAAGAGAAAUUGGAAAGUUUUCUUUUUCACAUGGCUCAGUCUUUUUCUAAAGAUUUUUUUUAUCUCUCAAAACAUAUGUGGAAAUUUUUACUAGUCGAUAGUAGAACUGCAGUCAUGUAAUUUGGAUACAUAAUUAUGAAUUGUAUUUACCGAAUUCUCUGAUACCAAAUUAUCACCUUUUUCUCAAAAUAUUGGAAAUCAUAAUUGCUAACAUUUUCAUAUAGACGAAGAAGGGAAAAACAAGAAAUAAAUAAAAUAAAACUGAAAAAAAAAAAAAGGUCUGUCAAAUGAGUCUUUUUCACGCUUCUUUCUAUUAUUAUUUAAAUUCAAACUCUCCAUGUUCUCAGAAUAAUCAUGAACAAAAAGGAAAAUAGUUAACAAUUAUUACACCACCUUCACUCCUGCAAUAAUAUUAAUUUUCCCUAUUUGCUUUUUCUUUCCCUCUAGAUAUUUAGUUU